Molecule: non-coding RNA, 2290 nt
Organism: Labrus bergylta (ballan wrasse)
Lineage: Eukaryota; Metazoa; Chordata; Actinopteri; Labriformes; Labridae
Source: RefSeq, a predicted model, not a curated record
GUCGAUAAACUGAAGAACUGGUUUGCCAGUAACUACCUCAGCACAGGCGCAGGUGUUGUCACAAUGUUUAUCAUACAGUUUAUUUGUCUGUCCAUCUCCAUCCCCCUGUUCUGCCACUUCAAGAGACAUGGGCUGGGUUACCAAUGAGAAGGAGCCAAAUCAAAAAGGAGCCGUUUCAAGCUGUAUCACAUUUUUAUUCAUCAGACUGGAAUCUGCCAAAGUGUUGAUAUUAGGAUGCCAUAUAUUUUCCAAAAGGAAGUCAUCUGAAGAAAAAGCCCUUGAGCUCUUUUUCUGUACUUGUACAGUCAGUGUAAACCAUCUUCAAUCAUCAAUUUUCUUUUUUGACUGUGCUUGAUUAGAGCAACCUCGAAGUACUAUUAAACUCCUCUGUGCUGUUUAACGUAAAGGUCACAUAUUAUACACAAUACACUUCACUAUGUUUUUCUAACACUACCAUGUCCCCUAGUCUGUCUACAAACCCCCCAAUUAUGAGAAAAAUCCAUCCUCCUCAUCUUUUACCUGCUCCACCUUUCCGGAAAAUGUGUGCUCAAACAGGUGGGUGACACUCCCACAGCUAGGUGUUUGUUCUGCCCUCUGAGUCUGCCUUCUCACCGUGAACAAUAGGACAUGGAGCGAGAAAGCCCGAGCCAUCCGAGCCCUUCCAGAGAGGGGACGUGGUCAGACACAGCUCAUUUACAUAUUUAAAUGUUCAGACACAGAAACAGCCUGUUCUACGCAGGGCUGAAAUAAAGCCUUUUCACACAUACUCUCCUGAAAAACUCUGGAGAUUAGGCUACCUGGAUGGGCUUUAGGUUAUAUGUGACCGCAAACAGCUGAAUUUUUCGCGCAGACUUUACCCGGAGUUUCUCCGGCCAGACAUCUAGUAUUUUUUCCACAGAAAGUCCAAGUGAGUUGAUGUCUGAACGCGGCAGCAUAUACUCCGGAGGACUCACCUCACUAUGAUCUCCAUGAACGUAAUUAAACGGCUUCAUUAUGUUUUCUGUUCAUCAGUAAGUUGUUCUCCACUCUUUUGUGGAUGUUGUCAUUUCAUUGGACUACAAAGACAAGACAAAUAUUCUCAUUAUAGCGUCGUGUAGUGGACUCUGUUGCUCCGCCCGCUACUUCCGCGUUGUUUAUUUACGUCAUGUCUUAAGUCAGGAAAUCCCCUGCGGCCCCUUCCCUCUGACAGGGAAAGUCCCCCGCUGUGAGGAGUAUAUGUGAACAGCUAGGUCAGGAGAAUUUCCGGAGCAGUCCUCCUGAAAUUAUCUAGAUAUUAUCCAGAGAGCAUAUAUGAAAACGGCUAUUGAGGGGUAUGACCAUCACCAAAUACAGGAUCAGAGUGGAUUUAGAACAAGAAACUUCACACAGCUGUGGGUGCUCUGAGACUUAAUUAAACUGGUUGAAGAGGAGGAUACUAUGUGACCUUUAAGAAACACAAAUGCACAUACUGGUCUGCCCCACUAUACUUUUGAUCUGCUUCUAUUUGUAUGAUGUUUUUUUCUGGUGUUCUGCGAUGGAUUCAAGUCCGAGCCACAGAUCACUGUUAUCUUUAAGAUUCCCUCGAUGUAAGACAUUAUACUUUAUUUUGAGAAGGCUUUUUCAGCAGGUAAAGUACCAGCUUCGUUUGUUUUAUUUUUAUGCCAAGGGUUGUCUCUAGAAAAGCACACACAAAACAUUUCCAAAUCAAACUGAAAUAUAGCCCUUAUACUUCAUUUUGAAAUUAUUGAAUUCAGUUUGGCUGCUUCUCAUCUUCAUUACCAGUCUAAGUUAUCAAUCAGCUUAUUCAUGAGGAUUUGGUUAUAAGGUAGGCUAACUAACAUCUCCUGCUAUGGCUCUUAUUGGACCGCUAAUGCUGUAUCAUUCUUUUUCUUUUGCAAUUAUCAUCAUGUUUUAUUAAUAUGUAGAUUUUUGUAAUGAUACUUCCUGUUAACAAGGAACAAAAUAUCUGUUCUUCAUCAGUUCCAUUAACACUGCCAGCAGAGGGAGAUGAGCUGCAUUAACUUCUAAAGCUACAGCGAGCAGCUGGGACUGUUUUAUAACCAUAGUGUUGUGUUGUAUAAUGAGUUGUAUAUAAUUAAUUUUAAUUAAAAGUUAAACCACUUGUUCCUGUUCAGGUAGACCUUUUCUGACAGGAUGUUCAAACUCUUGAAUGGCGUUAAUGGUUUCUUGGCACUUCCAACAUUUGGCGCAGUAGUUAAGGGAAAUGUACCAUAAUUAAUAAAAUCAGGAGUGUCCUAUCAAUUAUGUCAAAAUGAUGUAAUUUUAAUAAAAAUCUGAAAUGAUUUGAAAA